RNAcentral lists this ribosomal RNA (440 nucleotides) under uncultured bacterium. RNAcentral describes it as "partial 16S ribosomal RNA". It matches the Rfam family "Bacterial small subunit ribosomal RNA", at positions 338 to 795 of the family's 1533-position model. The record is from RNAcentral.
CCUACGGGUGGCAGCAGUGGGGGAUAUUGCACAAUGGGGGAAACCCUGAUGCAGCGACGCCGCGUGAGUGAAGAAGUAUUUCGGUAUGUAAAGCUCUAUCAGCAGGGAAGAAAAUGAUAGUACCUGAUCAAGAAGCCCCGGCUAAUUACGUGCCAGCAGCCGCGGCAAUACGUAGGGGGCAAGCGUGAUUCGGAUUUACUGGGGGUAAAGGGGGCGUAGACGGUUAUGUAAGUCUGGAGUGAAAGCCGGGGGCCCAACCCCGGGACUGCUUUGGAAACUGUGUAACUGGAGUACAGGAGGGGCAGGCGGAAUUCCUGGUGUAGCGGUGAAAUGCGUAGAUAUCAGGAGGAACACCAGCGGCGAAGGCGGCCUGCUGGACUGAAACUGACGUUGAGGCUCGAAAGCGUGGGGAGCAAACAGGAUUAGAUACCCGAGUAGUC